AUUGAACGCUGGCGGCAUGCCUUACACAUGCAAGUCGAACGGCAGCGCGGACUUCGGUCUGGCGGCGAGUGGCGAACGGGUGAGUAAUACAUCGGAACGUACCCUGUUGUGGGGGAUAACUAGUCGAAAGAUUAGCUAAUACCGCAUACGACCUGAGGGUGAAAGUGGGGGACCGCAAGGCCUCACGCAGCAGGAGCGGCCGAUGUCUGAUUAGCUAGUUGGUGGGGUAAAGGCCCACCAAGGCGACGAUCAGUAGCUGGUCUGAGAGGACGAUCAGCCACACUGGGACUUAGACACGGCCCAGACUCCUACGGGAGGCAGCAGUGGGGAAUUUUGGACAAUGGGGGCAACCCUGAUCCAGCAAUGCCGCGUGUGUGGAGAAGGCCUUCGGGUUGUAAAGCACUUUUGUCCGGAAAGAAAUCGCGCUGGUUAAUAGCUGGCGUGGAUGACGGUACCGGAAGAAUAAGCACCGGCUAACUACGUGCCAGCCGCCGCAGUAA
This 500-nucleotide ribosomal RNA is filed under the name uncultured bacterium. Its description in RNAcentral is "partial 16S ribosomal RNA". It matches the Rfam family "Bacterial small subunit ribosomal RNA", at positions 30 to 523 of the family's 1533-position model. The record is from RNAcentral.